UAUGGAGACAUAGCGGAGGUAUUCGGGGAGGACAGGUGGUGCAUGGUUGUCGUCAGCUCGUGUCGUGAGAUGUUGGGUUAAGUCCCGCAACGAGCGCAACCCCUAUUGCUAGUUACCAUCAUUAAGUUGGGGACUCUAGCGAGACUGCCAGUGAUAAACUGGAGGAAGGUGGGGAUGACGUCAAAUCAUCAUGCCCCUUAUGACCUGGGCUACAAACGUGAUACAAUGGCUGGAACAAAGGGAGGCGAAGGGGUGACCUGGAGCGAAACUCAAAAAAACAGUCUCAGUUCGGAUUGAAGUCUGCAACUCGACUUCAUGAAGUCGGAAUCGCUAGUAAUCGCGGAUCAGAACGCCGCGGUGAAUACGUUCUCGGGGUUU
Molecule: ribosomal RNA, 378 nt
Filed under: uncultured Acholeplasma sp.
Lineage: Bacteria; Bacillati; Mycoplasmatota; Mollicutes; Acholeplasmatales; Acholeplasmataceae
Description: bacterial SSU rRNA
Rfam family: Bacterial small subunit ribosomal RNA
Source: RNAcentral